Molecule: microRNA precursor, 68 nt
Filed under: Notamacropus eugenii (tammar wallaby)
Lineage: Eukaryota; Metazoa; Chordata; Mammalia; Diprotodontia; Macropodidae
Description: miRNA (ENSMEUG00000017350.1)
Source: RNAcentral
GCAUGGUGGGGAUAGGGUGGGGUUGUCCAUAAAAUCUACUGGAAAACUUCCUCGCCUUCUCCUGAUAU